UACGGGGGGGGCAAGCGUUGUUCAGAAUUACUGGGCGUAAAGGGUUCGUAGGUGGCCAACUAAGUCAGACGUGAAAUCCCUCAGCUUAACUGGGGAACUGCGUCUGAGACUGGAUGGCUUGAGUGCAGGAGAGGAACGCGGAAUUCCAGGUGUAGCGGUGAAAUGCGUAGAUAUCUGGAGGAACACCGGUGGCGAAGGCGGCGUUCUGGACUGCUACUGACACUGAGGAACGAAAGCCAGGGGAGCAAACGGG
This 253-nucleotide ribosomal RNA is filed under the name uncultured bacterium. Its description in RNAcentral is "partial 16S ribosomal RNA". It matches the Rfam family "Bacterial small subunit ribosomal RNA", at positions 524 to 776 of the family's 1533-position model. The record is from RNAcentral.